GUAUUAGAGAACCACAGAAAUGGGAGAAAGCUGCUGUUAACUCCCUGCGUCCUGGUCUGCUCUGGCCUCCAGCCCCUUGCUGGGGACAUGCCGUGCCAUUUGUGGCUGCCUCUGCUGACUUUAAGGGGUUCGCUGAUUCUCUCAGGGUUUCUCAUCUGACAUCUGUCUGCACAACAGGGGUGAGUGCUCCCAAGCUGAACCUCCUGGAGAGCUGGAGGUGUUCAAGAGGGACUGUUCCUACUGUUCUGUGCUUCAUCUGCCUAGUUCUGGCAGAGUUAAAUAAGCAGCCGUCAUCCUGCCCUGGGUGUAUAUCUGCUCCCAGAUCCUGUGUGUAACUGAGAUCCUCUGCCAGGGACGCACAGCCCCCUCGUGCUGCCCAGACCUGAGCAGGCUCUUCUGAAGAGAUGCAAGUGAAGCUCUGGCUGCCAAGAGCUCUUCUCCUUCAGUUGUCGCAAAUGACAAAUGCAAAGUUAAAAAUUAAUUUGCUAAUGGGCUGUCGUUUGUCCAAGCAGUUGUUGUGUGCCCGGGCAGCGCUUCACCUUGCUGUGACCACGCCGGCGGUGCCGGUGCUGUGCCCCGCGGUGUGUGGCCUGAGCACACGAAGGCAGCUUGGCCAUCCUGGCCGGUUGGGUGGGUGUCGCUGCCAGGACUUGGUCUUGAGAGCGCUGCACGCAGACUGGGCCGUGGGUCCCUGCCGCUGUUUGACCCCUACCCCUGCUUUGCAAGGGAAGGAGCCCCCCAGGCUCUGAACUGAUGGAACAAAGUGGGUUUGGGGGACCCGGCACUGCAUCAAAAGUGACAUGGCUGUAGGACACUUAAGUUUGGCAUAGCGUGGCUUAGCUUAAACUUGGUUAAAAGACUGGUAAAUAUGCAGGCUUUAUGCUGAAAUGGGUAUUAUCUGUGUCUUUCUAACUCAGCUGCUGGCUCAGUUACCUGUUUUAAAGCUGGCAUAAUUUCCCUGUGAACCUGUAAGCUCGUUUGAGGGCUGGCUUGUGUCUCUUCUGCUGGGUAAUAACCUGUUCGCAGGCAGACCCGGGAGUUGACCAGCCUCUCCACAGCCAGCUUUCCAUUUCUGCGCCAUGGUUUCCAAGCAAACCCAUUAGCCCGCCAGGCUCCUGUCCCUCCCGGCAGCCUCCUGGUGCUGCUGGUCCCCUGCGCGGCUCCCAGCAUGGGGCCAUGCCGCAGUGGCCAAGUGGGGAGCUCGAAAUAAAGGCAGCAUGUGGUAAGGCAGGAGUUCUGACUGCAGAGCUGGUCACCCCUGUGCUUCCCUGCAGGGCUGCUUGCUGGGUUUUCUUGGCCGCUAGGUCAGCUCGAGCUAGUGGACUGUUUGGAGCCCAGUGCAAAUGGUCCUCACCAUUUUGCAGGCUAACCCCUGCUCCCCUGCCCUCCUCCUGAGAACUUUGCUCCUGGUUAGCAGCAGCUGCUUGAUGAAAGGCCUUGCCUGCCCUGCCCAGAGUUAAGUACAGGCUUACUCUUCUUUUAGUGAGCUUUGAAGCCUGGGGUCUGCUUCGUUCUGUGGAGAAGCUCCCAGCUGCCUUGCUCUUCGCAUUGUACCUCUGCUUGCCCGGGGGCUGGUGCACAGUUGCUAUUCCUGCCCACACCUAAUCCUGCCCGGUCAGGGAGGCAGGAUGCCUGGAUGCCAUCCUACAUGGUGCUUGAUUUGGAAAGAGCUCGCAGUGGUUGUGGCUCUUGCUCCGUCGUUUGCUACAAACAUUGAGUACCACUGGGAAAUAGCAGCGACAUGCACCGAGGUCCCAGGAGGAGUGGGGGCAGGAGAGAGAGGGGCUCUGCAGGGAGAACGAGAAGGGCCUGCAGGGUAGGGCACGAAUUACCAGGGAGCCCAGGAUCACGUGAGAAACAAAGCAGUAGUUAGAGCUUCAGUUUCCUCUUCUUUGUUAAUCUCUUGAUAUGAUCUUUCUUAGGAAAUGCUGUACCUAGGGAAGAGAAGAGUCAGGGACUGGGUCUGAAAGCUGUGAGUUGCUUCUUGCGGAGUAGGACAUAUUUCCCAAAAGUCCCAAGUCCAGCUGGGCUUCCAGGGCCAUUGCCCUCCUGCGAGGGUGGGAGAGAGGUGGUGCUGCUGGGAAUGGCGCUGGGCCGGCACGCUCCCUGGCCUUUAGAUGGGUGCCUGGUGCUCGCAGCAGAGCAACCAUUUUCUCUGGGUCGAUGUAAAUAAUCGGAAGGAGCCAUCCAUCUUCCUGGAGGCGAUGAGCACAGCGAACUGACAGCUCAGGGAUGUUGCAGCGUCUCUCAUCUCUGACGGCCUUGUGUGGUGCAUGCUAAUGAAGCCUCCCGGCUCCUGCCUGGGCGGUGGUGACCCUGUGCUGUGCCCCGAGGUCUGAGGUCACCUCCUGACAGCAGGGGUUGAUUUUUUGCCGUCUCUUCUCUCUCCCUGUGCUCCAGUGUCUGGUACAGCAGUCUGGGGGACCAGAGCCUGUCUACGGGGAAGCCUCAGUCCCAGCAGUGGCUCCUUCAUCGAGAUGCGGGGGCUAUGCUGGGGAAGGCAUCCAGCAGGCCUGUGCUCUGACAUCAGCUCCCUGUUGCCUGUCUUUAGAAAGGUUUUUGGACAAUUGAGAAGUAGGUGUCUGAAGUGGGGUGAUGGGUUGGCUGGGAACCAGCUCAUGGUGGUGGAGCCAGGGCCCCAAGGUGCGCAGGACAGCAGGGAGAAGGCGAGUUUAGCCGAGACGGGGGACUUGGCAGUCCCCAAAGGUGGAGUCGGCACCAAAGGCAGAUGAUGCUGUGGCUGUGAGCAAAGGCAAAUGACUUUUGCUGUCAUACUCACACCCAAGAAAUUUAAAAUAUAAUAAUGAUUUAUUGCAGUAUUGGCACAUUGAGAUGUAAAUGCAAAGAGAUGAAUGAGCGCGUUGUGAAAAGGUGGCCUGUUGAAACAGGACGGUUCCAGUAAGAUUAGGGACAAAUUACUCCAUCCCAUCCACAGCAUUAUCUGCGGUGCUGUUUGCAUGGGGCUGUUUACCCACCCGAUGGCACAGGGUACAGAGAGGUGCGUUUCAUGUUUGUCGUUCUGUGUAUCCCCGGCGGGGGAUCAGACUUUUGCCAGCCUGGCCGUAGCGUGCUCCCGUGAUGAAAGCAGCCACGUGCGUAUUUACCGAUGGACACGCUGAACCCCCGUGUCCGCUGCUGGCCUUGCCCCGUCAGAUAGGAGACCUUCCAGGGUCCCUGGCCCCCGAGCAGCCGGCGGUUGCUCUCGGAGAAGGGUUGGCCUGUCACAGGACAUGUUUUUUUUUCCCCUUCUAACCAAAACACGAGUAAUCCUCUGGCAAUCCGGUUUGGGGAAGUGGCCGUGCCGUGCAUACAGCCCUCCCCAGUCUCAGCGCUGUGCACCACCUUUCCCCCAGAGCAGCCCUGUGCUGCUGGUGUUCCUCAAGGAUGGGGCCGCGGGGGCGCGGCGAAGGGCUGUGCGCGGCAGGAGGUGCCCGGGCGAGGGCUGCGGUGCCAGCCCUGCCAAAAGCUGUCUGGGAGAUGGCCAUCCCCAGCGGCGCCUGCCUGCUGCUUGAGCCGGGCUCUGCCCCGAGCCUGUUUCGCAAGAUGGCCCGUGGUGGGAUGGGCUCGGCCGAGGGCGGAGCUGUUAAACCCGUUUCACCACUGCAGGCACCGCAGGAUUUCUCCACUAGGGCCUGGGUUAUGUUAAUGGCAUGGCUCUGGAGCCGGGAGCUCGGCUGCCAAGAGGCGGUGGAUGCCUAGGGACAGGCGGGCAGAGGGGUCUGUGCUGCUGCAGGGCAGCCCCUGGGCUGCAGAGAACUGUGAUGAGCUGGAGGUGGGUAUAUCCACCUCCCUGAUUUGUAGCACCCUGCUGGUCUUUGAUUUUCUUAUUUAUUUGGUUUUUAUCCCCCAGCUCUGAAGGCUACCUUGGCUCACGGGGCAGGCCACCAAGUGCCCUCCUGAGGGUAGGAACCAUAAGCAGGGCAUCCAGGAGGCAGGCAGGAGUGCCUGCUGUGCCCGCAGCGUGCGGUCCGUGCCCCGAGUCUCGGCUGCUCAGCUCACCCCGUACACCCGCACCUUCUGCAAGUGGGCCGGGUGCCCUCCGAACAGGGGGGGCGCGGGGGCCAGCUUGUGCUGGUGCUCUGGAGGGGAGCGGGAAGCCUGUUUGUGCCUUCCCACUGCCCCGAGCCGUGCAGCUGGCAGGAAGGGCAGGCUUCCAGCAUGGGUCCUGUGAGAGCUCUGCUGCUUUGCUUCCAGACCCUUAGGAAAAAUUUCCUCUGACCUGAAAGGAUCCUGGCAAAUCUGAAGUUAAAAGGAGCUUUUUGUAUGGAAAUCAGGUGCUUGUGUAUCUGCAUGUGAAAUUACCCUUAAAAUGGAGAGGCUGAAAUUGCUCUCCAGGUGUUCACUUCUCAUCAGAGCUGCCAGAGUCCUGCUGCUCCAUCCGCAGGAGCAGGAUGCUUUUGCAGGAGUGGCAGAGGGCCGGUGCCACCUCCUGCCCCUCUGUGGCUCCCGAACAGGGCGGUGGGCGUUCGCUGGGGCACUUGCCCCCGGGUAGGGGUUUGCAGGGGUUGGCGGUGCCAGCCCUGGUUUGUGUCGGCCCCCAGGACUCUGCUCGUCUUCCCCAUCACGGCCGCAUCCUCCUGCCCUCGGCAUCCGCCCUGUCCUGGGUGCCAGAGCUGGGUUCCCUGGGAGGGGCUGGCCCCGGGGGGGCUGGUGGUGACCCCAGCAGUUGCUCGCUGAUGGGGUUUGAGGUCGUUAGCUGAACCUGCAUGCACCAGUGCCAUCCCGUGCUGCGUGUUGCAGGGGCAGCACCCCAGCUGUCCCCAGAAACCCUCUCCUCCUUCCUGCCAACUCUCCCCAGCGCAAGGGCUGUGGCCAUGUCCUCAGAUAACUCCACUGGCCCCUCCACAAAGGACAGCUAAACUUUUUCUGGGAAAAUGAUGCCAAGUGGCUGACAAACAGGUAUUUUUCCCUUCCUCACUGGGCCUGCGGGGUUGGGAUUGCUGGCAGCUGGGGCGCUUGCAGGCUCUCUGCGGGCGCGGAGCCAUUCCUCGUGCCGGGAGAGGGGUCCCCCGGCCAGCAGCACCUUCUCUGGGGCUGGGCAAAGCGACCUUCUCUGAAGGACGUCCUCUCUCCUCUGGCUCCGCUGUAUCCAGCUAACAGCUGAGAGCCUUGGUCUGGCGGCCGGGCUGCCCUGCUUGGUCUUUCACCUCCUGAGCGCUCGCUGCCGGCUGUUCAUGCUGACUCCGCAGUGUUGCAAGAGCUGAAGCUGCCGGUUAAAGUCCGGGUAAACAGGUUGCAAAGCCCUGGCGAGGGAGGCGGGGUUGGAAGGAGCUGCUUCUCCUGGCAGUGGGGUGAUUUAUUUGGAUAGAAUAAAAUUUCUACUGGAGUAAAAUGGCAUGGGGAGAGGAUGCGUGACAGCGGAGCCAGACCUCGGAUGGGUCUUGCUUCCAGGGAGGGAGGGGGCUGCAGGCAGGUGGUUUGUGCUGCUCUGUCUCUCUGCAGGCAGAAGAGAGCAGGAAAAAAUUGCCCCAAGCCACAGAGUGCACCCUGCUGGGUGCCCCUUCCCGUGGGAUUUGGGUCAGAGCAGCACCAGGGGUGCAGGCAGCACACGUCCCCGAGCAGGGCAAGGGAGAAGAUCCUCCUCUCGGUGCCUUUCCCUCUUCCCCUGCCCUGUGAUUUGUGUCUGUGCAGCUGCCGGAGGAGUCUCGGAGCUGUGCAGCAGCAGCAAGGCAGCCUUUGGGCCCGCUCCCCUGCCCUCAUCUGUCCCAGUGAGCGGUGACAGAAGUGAUCAGGAUGCCAGUGUCCAGCCGUGCCCCGGCCGCUCUGUGCAAGCCCUGGCGUGUCCCCUGCCGCAGCCGAGGCGAUGGGUGUGCUGCGGUGUCCCAGGGAGGCAGCCACUCUUGUGGUGGCUCUGGGAUGGGGACAGCUUUUGUGUCCAGCUACCUGGUUUGCCGCGGGGAGCCAGCGCAGAUGCCCUGUUCCUCCUUCCUCGGCUCGGGUUGCCCCAGCACCCCAGAGGCUGCUGGUUCCCGGGGGGGCACACUGUCCCUUUGCCAGGGCACUUCGCAGGCUCCAGGACGCCUGUGGAUGUGGCUUUGCCCCCAGGAUGUCAGGCAGAGCCUCCCUGCCUCCCACACACGGACAAACAUCCUUAAUCCUGGGGGCUGCCGAGGCUGUGGGCAGGUUGCAGGAGGUGCAGCAUCGUUCCCCGUGCUGUUUGGUGCAGCUGCCCCUGGACUGGUGCUUGUCCCAGCUGCUUCCCUGCUGCCCAGCUCUGGGGGAUGCUGGGGCAGCAGCUGGUGCUGGGGAACCGAGUGGGAACAUCUAUGGCUCUUAUUUUAAGUGUCCAGCACUCCAGGAUUGCAGCACAGGAGGUGGGAGGGAGGUGGCCUUGCCAGCCCCUGGGGCAUUUGCGUGGCAGCGGGGCUGGUGGCACAGCAAUGUGUAGCGGUGCAGAGGGGUGCCAGCUGGCGCUGGGCUUUUCGAGGACCAUUACACCCAGCUGAAGGAUGCUGCUCCUCAGCACACUGCUCACUGGGGACCCGCCAGCUGCUCCCGCAGGAGCUCUUUGGCUUUGCAGCAGAAAUUACAGUGCCUGGCCAGCCCUGUGCCAUGGCACCAGCAGUGUCUGCCACCUCUGACCUCAGACGUGCCAAGGCUGGGAGAGAGUUGAGGGGCAGCGGGAGAGCUCUGGGGGCCCUAGGGAUGGGGGCUGUCCUCCUGAGCUGCCCCGGGUGAGAGCCGGCAGCUGGCCGCAGCGCCGUGAGCUGGCCCCGCUGCGGCUGCCAGUGGCUGCCUCCCACGCUGCUGAAGCACAGGGUGCCGCGGAGGCGUAAAGGCCGGUGGUGGUCGCCCAUCGCCGCCUCCCGGGAUGCGCCUGCCUCGCCCAGGCUGAGCAGCUACGGCCCCUCCUGGGAACGCAGGGGGAAACAAGGAGCCUUUGUGCGCUGCGGCAGAGCUGGGCUGGCCUCGUGCCCCAUCCCAGCACCCUGCGAGGCUGGAAUGCUGCUGGGCUCGGCUGGUGGGUCCUACCCUGGGGAUGGGGGGCCAGCACUCGGUGCUAUGGUGUCCCUAUCCCUGCUGUGCCUGCAGGAGGAGGAGGAGGAUACUCUUGGAGCGCAGGGCUGGGCUUUCCCAUUGUCCCAGGCUGUGCCGAGCCCUGGAAGAGCUUCUUGGCUGCCUCGGGGAGGAUGAGCGCGGCCUGCUGCUGCUUCUGCCUGGGUGGAAAAAAACAGGAUAAGGCUGCUUUAAGGUGG
Molecule: non-coding RNA, 7196 nt
Organism: Phalacrocorax carbo (great cormorant)
Lineage: Eukaryota; Metazoa; Chordata; Aves; Suliformes; Phalacrocoracidae
Source: RefSeq, a predicted model, not a curated record